RNAcentral lists this long non-coding RNA (809 nucleotides) under Sus scrofa (pig). RNAcentral's name for it is "lncRNA (ENSSSCG00070012129.1)". Lineage: Eukaryota; Metazoa; Chordata; Mammalia; Artiodactyla; Suidae. The record is from RNAcentral.
AAAUUUUUUUCUUUGUUUUCAAAAUUCAAGCACUUUAGCAGAUUAGGAAAAUGUUUAAAGGUUUCAUUUUUUUUUUUUUUUCAGAUUAAGGCAAUGUGUUCCUGUAGCAGUAAUCAUUUAAGAAAGUGAUGUUUUUCUCUUUCAGAUCCCUAUUUUCACUCAUUAUUAGAGAGCUGAAUUCUAAAUCAAAGAUUGUGGAGAAGAGAUGUGCAACCUGAAUAAAACAUUUCCAGAAGAGACUGAAUAAUGGUCCUGAAUAAAGGGAACUGAAAUGUUCUUGAAUUGUAAUUGGAAAAAACUCAAGUGUGUGUACUCAGGAGCACAUGUACUAAGAAGAGGGCCGCCCUACCUAUGGAGGUACUGUAUGAUUGAGUCUCUGAUUUCAUCAUGGACACAGCUCUUCCUUAUUCUGGACUUCAGCAUAAAUUACCUUCAUUUUAGGGUAAGCUUCCAGAUUUUACCUGUGUCAGUCCCAUAGCAUCAGAACCAUUCUAUUUUGUAGCUCUUGUUUUAUUUGUAGUAAAUAGUUUUGUGAUAAAUUUCCAUGUCCCAUUUUAGACUAUAAACUAUGUGGGGGCAGCCAGUGUGUACUUUUAGCUGACUCUGUAUCCUCAAUAUUUUCCAAUAUUUGGACAUAGUGGGCAUUUGAUAAAAUUUUUUGAAGAAAAUUCUCAAUGCCUAAGAUAUUUCAUAUAUUUCAUAUAUUUUAAUAACAUGUAAAAUGUUUUUUUUUUGAAAUUGAAAUUGAAAAACUUUUUCAAAUGCAAAUAUGAAUAACAAAGCAUUGUUAAGAUCUUUUUCUCCUGAAU